RNAcentral lists this ribosomal RNA (482 nucleotides) under uncultured bacterium. RNAcentral describes it as "partial 16S ribosomal RNA". It matches the Rfam family "Bacterial small subunit ribosomal RNA", at positions 30 to 507 of the family's 1533-position model. The record is from RNAcentral.
AUUGAACGCUGGCGGCAUGCCUUACACAUGCAAGUCGAACGGUAACGGGCCUUCGGGUGCCGACGAGUGGCGAACGGGUGAGUAAUACAUCGGAACGUGCCCGAUCGUGGGGGAUAACGAGGCGAAAGCUUUGCUAAUACCGCAUACGAUCUACGGAUGAAAGCAGGGGACCGCAAGGCCUUGCGCGGACGGAGCGGCCGAUGGCAGAUUAGGUAGUUGGUGGGAUAAAAGCUUACCAAGCCGACGAUCUGUAGCUGGUCUGAGAGGAUGAUCAGCCACAAUGGGACUGAGACACGGCCCAGACUCCUACGGGAGGCAGCAGUGGGGAAUUUUGGACAAUGGGCGCAAGCCUGAUCCAGCCAUGCCGCGUGCAGGAUGAAGGCCUUCGGGUUGUAAACUGCUUUUGUACGGAACGAAAAGCCUUCUUUUAAUACAGGAGGGUCAUGACGGUACCGUAAGAAUAAGCACCGGCUAACUACGUG